This 2921-nucleotide ribosomal RNA is filed under the name Staphylococcus aureus. Its description in RNAcentral is "bacterial LSU rRNA". It matches the Rfam family "Bacterial large subunit ribosomal RNA". The record is from RNAcentral. Lineage: Bacteria; Bacillati; Bacillota; Bacilli; Caryophanales; Staphylococcaceae.
UUAAGUUAUUAAGGGCGCACGGUGGAUGCCUUGGCACUAGAAGCCGAUGAAGGACGUUACUAACGACGAUAUGCUUUGGGGAGCUGUAAGUAAGCUUUGAUCCAGAGAUUUCCGAAUGGGGAAACCCAGCAUGAGUUAUGUCAUGUUAUCGAUAUGUGAAUACAUAGCAUAUCAGAAGGCACACCCGGAGAACUGAAACAUCUUAGUACCCGGAGGAAGAGAAAGAAAAUUCGAUUCCCUUAGUAGCGGCGAGCGAAACGGGAAGAGCCCAAACCAACAAGCUUGCUUGUUGGGGUUGUAGGACACUCUAUACGGAGUUACAAAGGACGACAUUAGACGAAUCAUCUGGAAAGAUGAAUCAAAGAAGGUAAUAAUCCUGUAGUCGAAAAUGUUGUCUCUCUUGAGUGGAUCCUGAGUACGACGGAGCACGUGAAAUUCCGUCGGAAUCUGGGAGGACCAUCUCCUAAGGCUAAAUACUCUCUAGUGACCGAUAGUGAACCAGUACCGUGAGGGAAAGGUGAAAAGCACCCCGGAAGGGGAGUGAAAUAGAACCUGAAACCGUGUGCUUACAAGUAGUCAGAGCCCGUUAAUGGGUGAUGGCGUGCCUUUUGUAGAAUGAACCGGCGAGUUACGAUUUGAUGCAAGGUUAAGCAGUAAAUGUGGAGCCGUAGCGAAAGCGAGUCUGAAUAGGGCGUUUAGUAUUUGGUCGUAGACCCGAAACCAGGUGAUCUACCCUUGGUCAGGUUGAAGUUCAGGUAACACUGAAUGGAGGACCGAACCGACUUACGUUGAAAAGUGAGCGGAUGAACUGAGGGUAGCGGAGAAAUUCCAAUCGAACCUGGAGAUAGCUGGUUCUCUCCGAAAUAGCUUUAGGGCUAGCCUCAAGUGAUGAUUAUUGGAGGUAGAGCACUGUUUGGACGAGGGGCCCCUCUCGGGUUACCGAAUUCAGACAAACUCCGAAUGCCAAUUAAUUUAACUUGGGAGUCAGAACAUGGGUGAUAAGGUCCGUGUUCGAAAGGGAAACAGCCCAGACCACCAGCUAAGGUCCCAAAAUAUAUGUUAAGUGGAAAAGGAUGUGGCGUUGCCCAGACAACUAGGAUGUUGGCUUAGAAGCAGCCAUCAUUUAAAGAGUGCGUAAUAGCUCACUAGUCGAGUGACACUGCGCCGAAAAUGUACCGGGGCUAAACAUAUUACCGAAGCUGUGGAUUGUCCUUUGGACAAUGGUAGGAGAGCGUUCUAAGGGCGUUGAAGCAUGAUCGUAAGGACAUGUGGAGCGCUUAGAAGUGAGAAUGCCGGUGUGAGUAGCGAAAGACGGGUGAGAAUCCCGUCCACCGAUUGACUAAGGUUUCCAGAGGAAGGCUCGUCCGCUCUGGGUUAGUCGGGUCCUAAGCUGAGGCCGACAGGCGUAGGCGAUGGAUAACAGGUUGAUAUUCCUGUACCACCUAUAAUCGUUUUAAUCGAUGGGGGGACGCAGUAGGAUAGGCGAAGCGUGCGAUUGGAUUGCACGUCUAAGCAGUAAGGCUGAGUAUUAGGCAAAUCCGGUACUCGUUAAGGCUGAGCUGUGAUGGGGAGAAGACAUUGAGUCUUCGAGUCGUUGAUUUCACACUGCCGAGAAAAGCCUCUAGAUAGAAAAUAGGUGCCCGUACCGCAAACCGACACAGGUAGUCAAGAUGAGAAUUCUAAGGUGAGCGAGCGAACUCUCGUUAAGGAACUCGGCAAAAUGACCCCGUAACUUCGGGAGAAGGGGUGCUCUUUAGGGUUAACGCCCAGAAGAGCCGCAGUGAAUAGGCCCAAGCGACUGUUUAUCAAAAACACAGGUCUCUGCUAAACCGUAAGGUGAUGUAUAGGGGCUGACGCCUGCCCGGUGCUGGAAGGUUAAGAGGAGUGGUUAGCUUCUGCGAAGCUACGAAUCGAAGCCCCAGUAAACGGCGGCCGUAACUAUAACGGUCCUAAGGUAGCGAAAUUCCUUGUCGGGUAAGUUCCGACCCGCACGAAAGGCGUAACGAUUUGGGCACUGUCUCAACGAGAGACUCGGUGAAAUCAUAGUACCUGUGAAGAUGCAGGUUACCCGCGACAGGACGGAAAGACCCCGUGGAGCUUUACUGUAGCCUGAUAUUGAAAUUCGGCACAGCUUGUACAGGAUAGGUAGGAGCCUUUGAAACGUGAGCGCUAGCUUACGUGGAGGCGCUGGUGGGAUACUACCCUAGCUGUGUUGGCUUUCUAACCCACACCACUUAUCGUGGUGGGAGACAGUGUCAGGCGGGCAGUUUGACUGGGGCGGUCGCCUCCUAAAAGGUAACGGAGGCGCUCAAAGGUUCCCUCAGAAUGGUUGGAAAUCAUUCAUAGAGUGUAAAGGCAUAAGGGAGCUUGACUGCGAGACCUACAAGUCGAGCAGGGUCGAAAGACGGACUUAGUGAUCCGGUGGUUCCGCAUGGAAGGGCCAUCGCUCAACGGAUAAAAGCUACCCCGGGGAUAACAGGCUUAUCUCCCCCAAGAGUUCACAUCGACGGGGAGGUUUGGCACCUCGAUGUCGGCUCAUCGCAUCCUGGGGCUGUAGUCGGUCCCAAGGGUUGGGCUGUUCGCCCAUUAAAGCGGUACGCGAGCUGGGUUCAGAACGUCGUGAGACAGUUCGGUCCCUAUCCGUCGUGGGCGUAGGAAAUUUGAGAGGAGCUGUCCUUAGUACGAGAGGACCGGGAUGGACAUACCUCUGGUGUACCAGUUGUCGUGCCAACGGCAUAGCUGGGUAGCUAUGUGUGGACGGGAUAAGUGCUGAAAGCAUCUAAGCAUGAAGCCCCCCUCAAGAUGAGAUUUCCCAACUUCGGUUAUAAGAUCCCUCAAAGAUGAUGAGGUUAAUAGGUUCGAGGUGGAAGCAUGGUGACAUGUGGAGCUGACGAAUACUAAUCGAUCGAAGACUUAAUCAA